GUCGACAAUACUUCAGAGAAUCAUUUCUAUAGUAUUCGACCCUUUCUUGGUUCCCUAAAGGAGCCACAGAUCCCACCCUGGUUGAUGAUCUAUAUCCCCGACACCCUAGAGUGAAGAAGCUCCUGGUUGCUCUCGAACCCUCCGCAAGGGGGGCGGUCGUGUGUCUUUUGACCGCGGCUGUAUAGAGAGCGGUGAUGAUCUCGUCCCCGGCUACGGUCUUGCCCUCGGGCGCGUGGUCGGGGCGGGUGUCGGCGGRCGUCUGACAGGC
RNAcentral lists this small nucleolar RNA (268 nucleotides) under Colletotrichum higginsianum. RNAcentral describes it as "fungal small nucleolar RNA U3". It matches the Rfam family "Fungal small nucleolar RNA U3". Rfam says of the family: Small nucleolar RNAs (snoRNAs) are involved in the processing and modification of rRNA in the nucleolus. There are two main classes of snoRNAs: the box C/D class, and the box H/ACA class. Lineage: Eukaryota; Fungi; Ascomycota; Sordariomycetes; Glomerellales; Glomerellaceae. The record is from RNAcentral.